Molecule: ribosomal RNA, 427 nt
Filed under: uncultured bacterium
Lineage: Bacteria
Description: partial 16S ribosomal RNA
Rfam family: Bacterial small subunit ribosomal RNA
Source: RNAcentral
UGGGGAAUAUUGCACAAUGGGCGCAAGCCUGAUGCAGCCAUGCCGCGUGUAUGAAGAAGGCCUUCGGGUUGUAAAGUACUUUCAGCGGGGAGGAAGGUGUUGUGGUUAAUAACCACAGCAAUUGACGUUACCCGCAGAAGAAGAACCGGCUAACUCCGUGCCAGCAGCCGCGGUAAUACGGAGGGUGAAAGCGUUAAUCGGAAUUACUGGGCGUAAAGCGCACGCAGGCGGUCUGUCAAGUCGGAUGUGAAAUCCCCGGGCUCAACCUGGGAACUGCAUCCGAAACUGGCAGGCUUGAGUCUUGUAGAGGGGGGUAGAAUUCCAGGUGUAGCGGUGAAAUGCGUAGAGAUCUGGAGGAAUACCGGUGGCGAAGGCGGCCCCCUGGACAAAGACUGACGCUCAGGUGCGAAAGCGUGGGGAGCAAACA